CCUACGGGCGGCAGCAGUGGGGAAUACUGCACAAUGGGGGAAACCCUGAUGCAGCGACGCCGCGUGAGUGAAGAAGUAUUUCGGUACGUAAAGCUCUAUCAGCAGGGAAGAAAAUGACGGUACCUGACUAAGAAGCCCCGGCUAACUACGUGCCAGCAGCCGCGGUAAUACGUAGGGGGCAAGCGUUAUCCGGAUUUACUGGGUGUAAAGGGAGCGUAGACGGCAGCGCAAGUCUGGAGUGAAAUCCCAUGGCUUAACCAUGGAACUGCUUUGGAAACUGUGCAGCUAGAGUGCAGGAGAGGUAAGCGGAAUUCCUAGUGUAGCGGUGAAAUGCGUAGAUAUUAGGAGGAACACCAGUGGCGAAGGCGGCUUACUGGACUGUAACUGACGUUGAGGCUCGAAAGCGUGGGGAGCAAACAGGAUUAGAUACCCGAGUAGUC
RNAcentral lists this ribosomal RNA (440 nucleotides) under uncultured bacterium. RNAcentral describes it as "partial 16S ribosomal RNA". It matches the Rfam family "Bacterial small subunit ribosomal RNA", at positions 338 to 795 of the family's 1533-position model. The record is from RNAcentral.